GCGGAGGAUCAUUAAUGAUUAACUGUCUGUCGAGCUUGCUCACAGACUUAUCAUAUCCAUAACACCUGUGCACUUGUCGGAUGGCUUAGUGAAGACCGCAAGGUUGGAACUAUCCAUCUACUUUACAUAACAAUUUAGUAACAAAUGUAGUCUUAUUAUAACAUAAUAAAACUUUCAACAACGGAUCUCUUGGCUCUCGCAUCGAUGAAGAACGCAGCGAAAUGCGAUAAGUAAUGUGAAUUGCAGAAUUCAGUGAAUCAUCGAAUCUUUGAACGCACCUUGCGCUCCCUGGUAUUCCGGGGAGCAUGCCUGUUUGAGUGUCAUGAAAACCCUCAACCUUAGAUUGGUUAACACCUUUCUUUGGCUUGGAUUUGGACGUUUGCCGAUGAUAAGUCGGCUCGUCUUAAAAGUAAUAGCUGGAUCUGUCUCGCGACAUGGUUUGACUUGGCGUAAUGAGUAUUUCGCUAAGGACAUCUUCGGAUGGCCGCGUUGCAAGACUAAAGACCGCUUUCUAAUCCAUUGAUCUUCGGAUUAAUAUUCUUGACAUCUGGCCUCAAAUCAGGUAGGACUACCCGCUGAACUUAAGCAUAUCAAUAAGCGGAGGAA
This 606-nucleotide ribosomal RNA is filed under the name uncultured Filobasidiaceae. RNAcentral describes it as "eukaryotic LSU rRNA". The stretch from base 170 to 323 matches the Rfam family "5.8S ribosomal RNA". The record is from RNAcentral. Lineage: Eukaryota; Fungi; Basidiomycota; Tremellomycetes; Filobasidiales.